UUCAUGUUUUGCAUAUUCGUACUCUUGGGUGUACUUGCCCGUAUGGUUGGUUAACAUCAAUUUUGGUGGUCAUAAAAUGACUGGAGGAAUGUAGCUUCGAUCUCGUAUUGAAGUGUUAUAGCCUUCGGUAGAUGUGAUGAUCGAGAUUGAGGAUUGCAACGGAUACCCUUCGGGGCUACCUGUCUGAUCUCUGAUCGUUGUUCUGGUGCCGAAAGCUUGCUUACGGUUAUCAAAGUCGAUGGUCAAUAGGUUAGAACGGGUUAAA
RNAcentral lists this ribosomal RNA (265 nucleotides) under uncultured Rhizophagus. RNAcentral's name for it is "partial 28S ribosomal RNA". The record is from RNAcentral. Lineage: Eukaryota; Fungi; Glomeromycota; Glomeromycetes; Glomerales; Glomeraceae.